AUGCAGGUCACGUUGCUAAAAAUUUGCAUAAUUUGUAUGAUGACAAGGCUUUUAAGGAAACACAAUGUCGAAGUUGGUUUGUCAAAUUCCGUUCAGGAGAUUUUUCAGUCAAAGAUAAGCCACGUUCAGGCUGGCAGAGUAAAGUUGAUGUUGACGAAAUCGAGGCGGAUCGUCAUGUAACUGAGCGUGAGAUUCGAGAUAAGUUAAGUAUACCAAGACAAACCAAUUCAUUUAACAAGCCGUUUUAACGCAUGUGAAAUGCAUCUUAAACGCAAAUUUCUUACGAUUUCCUCUUCUAUCACAAAUAAAAAAAAUUUCGCCGAUUUUUUCUUUUUUUUCUUUCCUAGUAUUCUAAACCAACUCCGAAAGUGGGGAAAAAUUCCCAGCGGAAAAAGUUGGCAUCUCCAAUGUAUAAAAAAUUUGGAUUAUUUCAAAAUUCCGCGAGAGUCCUUUCCAUAGAAGUUGUGUGAGAGUUUUUAUAAAAAAAAUGCUCAACAACAACGUGUAAAGUGCAGUUUCAGUAGCUGGUAAAGCGGAUUUUUUAAGGGUAAUAAUGAACCAGUUUUGGAGGAAGGUGUGAGCUGACCAAAAGAAAUAAGUCCAGCACAAAACUUCUAGGCCGGAAAGCACGUAAACAAAUAAUGCAGAGCGUAAAUUGUCCACUCCCGAAGAAGCGAAAUUCAAAAUCAUUGGAAUGAAAUAGUCGGUGGAAGGGUUGCCUGCAACGAAGUUUGGAUUGAAAGAGCAAGCGACCUUGUCAAACGAUGUGGAUAUUUGUCCUGGUGUAGAUUUUAUCUACUUUAAAGAAGAGUUCGUUCCCAUUCUUCCUUAUUUGCUUCAGCAGCGAAUAUAUAUACAAUAGUACCACAGUAUCCAUAAUUCUAAUAUAAUUUUUAUUUUCAACAACAAUUGUUUCUUUCACCAAAUUAUCAAAUGUCAAUAAUACUAAGCAGCUGAUUUCGAAAGAAAAAAAUCUUAAUUCCAAAAAAUUAUUCUUUCUGUGCACUUAGAAUUGGUGUAUUUUGUCUUAGGGGAUUUCUAAACCCGCUAGGAGAAUUUCCGCGAGAAUAUCUAGAAUUGGGCUGAUAUUUUAAGCUGCUUCCAAGGAACCAAACGAUUAAUUCGAAUGUUUACUGUGUACAUCCUAUACCGAUUAGAAGAAACGGCCAGAAUUGGUCAUUCGUACAUGUGUCAUAAUCCACCAGGACAAUGCUAGACACCGUCGGACUACCAUUUGUUUCGAUAUUUGCAGCGCUCAUUAAGUGCUAAGCUUUCGAAAAUGGCGAGGCUAUAAAAUCGUACAUAGUUCAAUUUUUUGCAGAUAAAGGCCAGAAGUUCUAUGAGCGUGGAAUAAUGAUGUUGCCGGAAAGAUGACGAAAGAUCAUCUAAUAAAGUUCAAUAUAAAAUUUAAAAAAUGUAUUUACUUCAUUUUAAAAAAUCUCCGGGUUUUUUGGAGCAGCCCAAUAUUAGCUCCCUGUUUUAAUUCAUAAUUUCAUAAUUAAUUUGGUGUAACUUUGGCUGCGGUGGCCGAGUUGUUAGCAUUGCGUCCUGCCAUUCGAAAGGCGUGGGUUCUGAUCCCCAUGCGAUCAACAUUCAAAAGUUUU
Molecule: long non-coding RNA, 1604 nt
Organism: Ceratitis capitata (Mediterranean fruit fly)
Lineage: Eukaryota; Metazoa; Arthropoda; Insecta; Diptera; Tephritidae
Exons: 3
Source: RefSeq, a predicted model, not a curated record